RNAcentral lists this ribosomal RNA (548 nucleotides) under Hansenula anomala. Its description in RNAcentral is "eukaryotic LSU rRNA". It matches the Rfam family "Eukaryotic large subunit ribosomal RNA", at positions 87 to 648 of the family's 3401-position model. Lineage: Eukaryota; Fungi; Ascomycota; Saccharomycetes; Phaffomycetales; Wickerhamomycetaceae. The record is from RNAcentral.
CGGCGAGUGAAGCGGCAAAAGCUCAAAUUUGAAAUCUAGCACCUUCGGUGUUCGAGUUGUAAUUUGAAGAUGGUAACCUUGGGUUUGGCUCUUGUCUAUGUUCCUUGGAACAGGACGUCAUAGAGGGUGAGAAUCCCGUCUGAUGAGAUGCCCAUUCCUAUGUAAGGUGCUAUCGAAGAGUCGAGUUGUUUGGGAAUGCAGCUCUAAGUGGGUGGUAAAUUCCAUCUAAAGCUAAAUAUUGGCGAGAGACCGAUAGCGAACAAGUACAGUGAUGGAAAGAUGAAAAGAACUUUGAAAAGAGAGUGAAAAAGUACGUGAAAUUGUUGAAAGGGAAGGGCAUUAGAUCAGACUUGGUGUUUUACGAUUAUCUUCUCUUCUUGAGUUGUGCACUCGUAUUUCACUGGGCCAGCAUCGAUUCGGAUGGCAAGAUAAUGGCAGUUGAAUGUGGCUUCACUUCGGUGGAGUGUUAUAGCUUCUGCUGAUAUUGCCUGUCUGGAUCGAGGGCUGCGUCUUUUGACUAGGAUGCUGGCGUAAUGAUCUAAUGCCGC